GUCUAUGGCGGACCGUGCGAGGCGGACGCAAGUCCGGCCGGCUGGCUAGCUCCGGUUUUCCACCCUCGCACGGUCCGCCACCCAA
RNAcentral lists this non-coding RNA (85 nucleotides) under Metapseudomonas resinovorans NBRC 106553. The record is from RNAcentral. Lineage: Bacteria; Pseudomonadati; Pseudomonadota; Gammaproteobacteria; Pseudomonadales; Pseudomonadaceae.